UUUCAAACGGUUUUUUUCGGGAAUGAAGUUUGGAUGAUUUAGUUGCGAAACCGGUGAGUUACCAUGUGAGAAACCUCCCUUUCACAGGAGGAUACCCUUUGAAAACGGCGUUUUAUACUUCAUGACAUCAAAGAUACCCGCAUGGUAAUUUGAUUAAAGAUUUUUUCGGUGAAAGAUGGUCUCGCGUCUGAUUAGCUAGUUGGUAAGGUAGUGGCUUACCAAGGCGACGAUCAGUAGCCGGCCUGAGAGGGUGAACGGCCACACUGGAAACUGAGACACGGUCCAGACUCCUACGGGAGGCAGCAGUGGGGAAUUUUGCACAAUGGGGGAAACCCUGAUGCAGCGACGUCGCGUGAACGAUGAAGGCCUUCGGGUUGUAAAGUUCUGUCCUUGGCGAAGAUAAUGACAGUAGCCAAGAAGCAAGCCCCGGCUAAAUACGUGCCAGCAGCCGCGGUAAUACGUAUGCGGCGAGCGUUGUCCGGAAUUAUUGGGCGUAAAGGGUACGUAGGCGGUUAUGUGGGUCCGUAUUAAAAGGCAUUGGCUCAACCAAUGUUCGGUAUGGAAACUGCAUAACUUGAGUAGAUGAGGGGUAAGUGGAAUUCCUAGUGUAGCGGUGAAAUGCUUAGAUAUUAGGAGGAAUACCAGUGGCGAAGGCGACUUACUGGAAUCUAACUGACGCUGAGGUACGAAAGCGUGGGGAGCAAACAGGAUUAGAUACCCUGGUAGUCCACGCUGUAAACGAUGAGUGCUAGGUGUCGGGAGUCAAAUCUCGGCGCCGCCGCUAACGCAU
RNAcentral lists this ribosomal RNA (790 nucleotides) under uncultured bacterium. RNAcentral's name for it is "bacterial SSU rRNA". It matches the Rfam family "Bacterial small subunit ribosomal RNA", at positions 60 to 860 of the family's 1533-position model. The record is from RNAcentral.